GACGAACGCUGGCGGCGUGCCUAAUACAUGCAAGUCGAACGCUUCUUCCCUCCCGAGUGCCUGUACCCAAUUGGAAGAGGCGUGGCGGACGGGUGAGCAACACGUGCGUAACUUACCCAUCAGAGGGGGAUAACACUUGGAAACAGGUGCUAAUACCGCAUAACAGUUUAUGCCGCAUGGCAUAAGAGCGAAAGGCGCUUUCGGGUGCCGCUGUUGGAUGGACCCGCGGUGCAUUAGCUAGUUGGUGAGGUAACGGCUCACCAAGGCGACGAUGCGUAGCCGACCUGAGAGGGUGAUCAGCCACACUGGGACUGAGACACGGCCCAGACUCCUACGGGAGGCAGCAGUAGGGAAUAUUCGGCAAUGGACGAAAGUCCGACCGAGCAACGCCGCGUGAGUGAAGAAGGUUUUCGGGUCGUAAAGCUCUUUUGUUAGGGAAGAACAACAGCGUUAGUAACUGAACGUCCUCUGACGGUAUCUAACCAGAAAGACACGGCUAACUACGUG
Molecule: ribosomal RNA, 507 nt
Filed under: uncultured bacterium
Lineage: Bacteria
Description: partial 16S ribosomal RNA
Rfam family: Bacterial small subunit ribosomal RNA
Source: RNAcentral